AUGCGACCCCAGGUCAGGCG
Molecule: ribosomal RNA, 20 nt
Filed under: Carpinus turczaninowii (Korean hornbeam)
Lineage: Eukaryota; Viridiplantae; Streptophyta; Magnoliopsida; Fagales; Betulaceae
Description: partial 26S ribosomal RNA
Source: RNAcentral